This 940-nucleotide long non-coding RNA is filed under the name Homo sapiens (human). RNAcentral's name for it is "non-protein coding lnc-DEFB115-4:1". Lineage: Eukaryota; Metazoa; Chordata; Mammalia; Primates; Hominidae. The record is from RNAcentral.
CCAAAGAAAAAGUAUAAUUUAAAGAUGGCUGUUUAAGGAUCAAAUUGCAGCAAUUGGUAAAAGUAGAUAUUAGUCAUAUUUAUGAAGUGACACACAGUGAUACUGAAGGCACUUAUUUCUCAAGAAACAUCAUUUUUUCCCAACAAGAACAUACUACAUCCUAGACAUGAGAUGAAAAUAAGCUUUAAUUUUCACCACAGCAGGGCGACAAUCAGAGAACUGAGGUGGUACAGAUCCAUUAGAGGACCAUAUCCAUGAGUCUAUCAGUCUCUACUGUAGGACAGAGCAAGAAUUUUUAAAGAAUCUCGGUGAAGGCUCCUUUUCAAAAAAAUAUAAAGAUUAAAGCCUUUGAAACGUAAAUUAUUUUUUCCAGUUAUUACAUUGAGGACAAAGUUAUAGUUGCAAAGUUAAGAUUUUUAUAACUAUCUCUAAAAUUGAUUCUCAGUGACUCCCUUGAUCUACAUAUGUUAAGGAAAGAGGCAAGAUGAAGAUGUGUUAAAUAUUUUCCAGUUUUUAAUAAUCACUUUAAUAUAAGGUAUACCCAAAUAAUGGUGAAUUAAAUGACAAAUAUGUUAUAGCAGAUGCUCACUCAUCAACCUGCCUUGAAAUUAAAGGUUUAUAAGGUGCAUAAGGGCAAAGCCUUUGAUGUUGUCAUUACAUUCACAAAGGUAUCUGAGGCACGUACAGCAUGAAGUUCCCUAAGUGCUUGCAACAUAAGCAGCACUAAAUUUUGUUGAAUAAAUAAAUGAAUACUUUUGUAUAGCAUCUGCUCAAAAUCUCUGAUGUAAAAAUGAAAAUAAUCUGAAAAUAUGCAAAACUGAAUUUUCCCACAUACGGUUGCCAAUUCAUACAAUAAGAUAAAUUUCAAAAUGAGAACAUGACAAUAAAAUCAAGUUUCAAAAUGGCUGGCCUUUUAUAGCAAAACCCAUGUUCAAAAAAA